GCAUUUACUGUCAUAAAUUAUACCUGAUUUGUUAAAUCUCUUACCAAAAUAAGCAAAUCAUUUUGUAAAUUUAUUCGUAUUCUAGCAGGAACUGCAAUGCAGAUAUAAAAUCAGUGUUAUUCCAGACAAAACCUUUAUUCACAACAUUGGGUGUGAUUAUUCAAAGUUUCAAUUCAUUGUACCUAAAUUGAAACAAUUUACUACAACACAACCUUUGUUAUAUUUUAAACAUAAUCUUUCAUGCAUUUUCUAAUCCCGCAGCAACGCGCGGGUAGUACUUUCUAGUAUUAACCUAAGGUCCAACCCCUUAACCCAAGCCCAGACUUUAAGACCCAACCCAGUUUUCAAACCGGGCUUUCAAGCCCAAAUCCUUAAAACCCAAAGCCCAAAACCCUCUUUAUUUAUUUAAAUUUUGUUUUUAUUUUAUUGUUUUGAAACCCAAAACAUUUGGGCCAGGCUUCAAUGCCUAGCCCAUUUAGAAACCCUAAAACCCUAGGCCCAACCCGGUCCAACCCAAACCCUUUGACCCGGUUUGACUUGUUGACCGGCUAACGGUCAACGUUGACUUUUCGUAGACCUUUUUUUUGAGUUUUGUUUGGGACUUCUCAUAAGCUAAUUACGACGUCUUGAACCCGUUUAUGGCGUCUGCUUCCUAAAAUUCAUUCGUUUGAGUAUAGCUUUGUUAAGUGUACUCUUUAUGUGUUUAGGUGCAAUUAAUAGUGACGAUUCCGUUAUUUCCUAUUGGUAAGGCUUUGUACCAACGAUGUAUGGUGAUUGGACCCCUUCUAAAAUACAUGUUUUAUAGUAGAAACACAUACAUGAAAAACAUGAUUUAAUGAUUACAUUUUAUGAGAAAUUGAUUAUCAUGCUAUAUUGAGCUUACUUUGAAAUACCAUAUUUUCUAUCAAAAUCAUGUUCUUGUAGGGUAUCUAAUGGAUGACGAUAUACUAUGUAGAACAUGUUUUUAUAACACUUAUUUAUAGUAUAGAUGAUGAAUGACUUUAUACUAUGAAGAUGCUUUUGAAAUAUAUGUACCUAUGUUUUGGAAAUAAUAUGUUCAAUGAUUUUGUGCAUAUCUAAUGGUCACUAUAUAUAUUGCCUUCGGGCGGGCGUGUGUAGGGCACUGUUUUGUGCAUAAGAGAGAUACUGAUAUUGAUACCACUAGUUAGCAUACUACAUAUGAGAUACGUUUUGUAAUGUUUUAUGGCAUGCUAGGGUUUUCGGAAAAACCUAUUAUAUAUUAUACUAUUGAGAUUUCAUAAAACUGUAGGGGUUAGUAUGUUGAUAACUGUUUUAUUAUAUAUAUAUAUAUAUCAAUUUGGUUCAUUCAUGUUUGUUUUGCGCCUCUUUGAGGAUUUAGAAUCGAGACAUACAAUCCCAGCGUUAAGGCACUUCCGCAUCGAUAUCUUCGAGUCUUUUCGGUGUAGGACCCAUCCCUUUGUUCGUUCUAUUUUAUAUUUUUUUUAGUGUUCUAGUUAGUUGUAUGCUCUGAACACGUUUCUUAAAUGCAUAUUAAUUACCAUUAAAUUCAUAAGUCUUAUUUAUUCCUCGUUCUCAUGCAUUUCUAAAUGGCUUGCGUCACCCUCGGGUGUCGGCCAGCACGUGACCAUCUCGAUAUCCUGAGGAUAUCGAGAUUGGGGCGUGUCACUUUGUUUGGUUGGACUUGUUGUGUAAUAUUGAUAGAGCAUUGAUAUGCCAAUCCUAUACAUAUUUACUCCUCUCAUUUAUGCCAAACCUACACAAGUACAUGUACUUGUGGUAAGGUGAGUCCGGCAAGGCACACAGUGACAUUGUAAACACAAUUAUCUUCUUUGCAUGGAUCAGAUUAUACCACAUCUUACUUGACUCUGGGGUUGUCCACAACCACACCUUAAACCUUCCUUUGAAAAGUUGGGAGUAGAGAUGGGCAACGGUUAUGGCAAGAGGGUAAUCGCGAUUAUUUACCCAUAACCGUUUAUGUUUAUACCCGCAUAACCAUUUACCCGUUGGAUAAUUACAUAAAUGGUUAUACCCAUAACCAUAACCGUUUAUAAACGGUUAUCCAUACCCAUAACCGUGUACUCAUUUACCCAUAACCAUUUACCUAUUUAACUCACCCCAUUCUUCUUCAUCUUUUCUAAAAGAAAACCUAGCUACUCAAUUUCUCUCAACCCUAGCCGUCCCUUGUCCAAUUUCUCUCAACCACGGCCUCCAUUUUAGGGUUGAGAGUCCAUAACCAUUUACCUAUUUAACUCACCCCAUUCUUCUUCAUCUUUUCUAAAAGAAAACCUAGCUACUCAAUUUCUCUCAACCCUAGCCGUCCCUCGUCCAAUUUCUCUCAACCACGGCCUCCAUUUUAGGGUUGAGAGGGAGAGACUCGUCGGGAUUUCGGGAGGGACGUGCGGGUGGGUGUCCUGUGGCUGAAGCAUCGGUCAGAGGGUUGUUGGGGGGAGGGGAGGAGGGGGACAGAGGGACUGACGGAUUGGAGAGAGAUGGGAGCUAUGGGUUUGGAUUGAGUGAGAGAGAGAUUUAGGUAGGUUAGGGCCUAUGCGAUUUUCUUCGAUUUUAGAGAGAGAGAUGGAAAGGGAGAUAGAAGAUAGGGAGGGAGAGGAGAAAGCAUGGUUGUGUGCAUUUUUUGGGAUUAAUUAAUGGGUUAGUACACAGGGUCAGUGAGGAGAGAAUGACAGAGGGAUGUAUGGGAGGGUAUGGGUUUUCAGUUUUUUUUCCACUGAUUCAACAGGUAAUGCACUGUUUAAAAUUCAUUGUUUAUUGUCUCCUGCUUUGAUUUCGUUGGUUCUUCUUUAGGGUUUUCUUUGGUUGUCUCGCUGAUCUUCCCUACUUUUGGCUUGCUUUUCUUUGUGUCUCAAAGCUUGCUCUUUCGCCACUUCUGAUUUUUCCAUCUUUUUUUUUGCCCAAGUGAAGAGCCAGUGUGUUUUUUUUAUAGUUGGAAAGGAUUGGAUUCCUAUAAAUUUCAUUUUUGGGUCGCGGUUUCUAACUUUUGCUGGGAAAAAAGGGUUGAAAUCGUUGUUGUGCGAUAGGGUUAUCGCAAAAACAGAGGUUCUUUUUUACUCAUCAAAGAUGGAGUGUUCUGUAUCGCCUUUGUUGGUAAUUUUUUUGUUGGUGCUUCCGACCUUUUCCGGUGAGUUUUCUGAUUUUCUUGCUUGCUUAUUCUUAAUCUUUUUUAUUUCGUUUUGGAUUUGUUAGUUUAUCUUUUUUGCAUCUGAGUAUGUGAUUCGAUGUUUUAGAUUGGAUUUUUAUGGUUUUGAGUUUGUGGGGUUUUUUUUGGGUUCCUGAGACAAUGUUAUCCAAUGGUUUUGAUUGAACAUUUUCCCUCAAUCUGUUGCAACUUUGCUGUCGUAGUACCCCUUUGUCAAACUUUGUUUUGUGUUUUUUAUUUUUAUUUCUCUGUGCAGCUUUUGUAAAAUUGAAGUGGGAGUUUGACGGAUGUUGAUCAAGCCCCCAGUUUAUUAACGACGAGAACAACACUGACCCAAAAUUCGAAGAAAAAUUUAAACACAGAAAAGCGUAGGAUCCUGGUAAGUUUUACGGCAGAAUUGGGCAGGUAAUUUUGUGAUUAGCAAUUUAUUUUGUGAAUUGAUUGAUGGGUUUGGUUUCUGGAUUCUCUUUUCUUUGCUGAAUGUCCACAUGUGUAUUUGUUUACAUAAUCAUUGGUUGGUUAUAUGCAUGUAUAAUUACUCUUUAUUAUUUAGGUAAAAUAGUUUUUGUUAGUUAGAGGGCAGUAGAGAACAAGCAAUAAGGUAAACCAUAUGGUUGCAUAGAGAUCAUGGGUACAUAUUUAUUAAUUAGAUUUAACCAAUGAUCAUUGGUUGGUUAAAUGCGUGUAUAGUUAUCCUCUAUUAGUUAGGUACAAUAGUUUUUGUUAGUUACAGGGCAGUAGAGAACAAGUGAUGAGGUGAACCGUGUGGUUGGAUAGAGAUCAUGGGUACAUAUUUGUUAGUUAUGUUUAGUCAAUGAUUAUUUGUUUUGUCAAUGUAUUGUAACAAAUUUCUUUGGUAUAUAGGUGUCUGAUAAAUUUUAACUGUGUGUCCUGGCUGAAAGCAAAUAAUUUUUGUUCGCAAUUGAUACAAAGGCAAAAGAAAAGAGGUAAAGAGUGCUGUUUUGUCCUUUCGAUUGGUUCUAUGUGGUUUUUAAUGUUAAUUGUUCAAAUUAUUUUGAAUUUUCUUUACCCUCUGUUUCAUAUCUUUAUUGCUUAUUUUCCUGGUGUUUAUUGGUGAUUCCAUUUCUUUUGUGUAUGGAGAUUAACUGUGUUUUGUUUGUAGUCAUUGUUGUUUUUAGCAUUUGAAUUAGAAUAAAAAAAAAAAAAAAAAAAAAAAAAGGUCGUACCCAGUGCACAAGGCUCCCGCUUUAC
This 4348-nucleotide long non-coding RNA is filed under the name Malus domestica (apple). RNAcentral's name for it is "long non-coding RNA (MDOM_LNC002343)". Lineage: Eukaryota; Viridiplantae; Streptophyta; Magnoliopsida; Rosales; Rosaceae. The record is from RNAcentral.